RNAcentral lists this ribosomal RNA (253 nucleotides) under uncultured bacterium. RNAcentral describes it as "partial 16S ribosomal RNA". It matches the Rfam family "Bacterial small subunit ribosomal RNA", at positions 524 to 776 of the family's 1533-position model. The record is from RNAcentral.
UACGUAGGGUCCGAGCGUUGUCCGGAAUUACUGGGCGUAAAGAGCUCGUAGGUGGUUUGUCGCGUUGUUCGUGAAAACUCACAGCUUAACUGUGGGCGUGCGGGCGAUACGGGCAGACUGGAGUACUGCAGGGGAGACUGGAAUUCCUAGUGUAGCGGUGGAAUGCGCAGAUAUCAGGAGGAACACCGGUGGCGAAGGCGGGUCUCUGGGCAGUAACUGACGCUGAGGAGCGAAAGCGUGGGGAGCGAACAGG